AUUGAACGCUGGCGGCAUGCUUUACACAUGCAAGUCGAACGGUAACAGGUUAAGCUGACGAGUGGCGAACGGGUGAGUAAUGCAUCGGAACGUGCCCGAUCGUGGGGGAUAACGCAGCGAAAGCUGCGCUAAUACCGCAUACGAUCUGAGGAUGAAAGCGGGGGACCGUAAGGCCUCGCGCGAUCGGAGCGGCCGAUGUCAGAUUAGGUAGUUGGUGGGGUAAAGGCCCACCAAGCCGACGACCUGUAGCUGGUCUGAGAGGACGACCAGCCACACUGGGACUGAGACACGGCCCAGACUCCUACGGGAGGCAGCAGUGGGGAAUUUUGGACAAUGGGCGAAAGCCUGAUCCAGCAAUGCCGCGUGCAGGAAGAAGGCCUUCGGGUUGUAAACUGCUUUUGUACGGAGCGAAAAGGUCCUUUCUAAUACAGGGGGCUCAUGACGGUACCGUAAGAAUAAGCACCGGCUAACUACGUGCCAGCCGCCGCAGUAA
This 493-nucleotide ribosomal RNA is filed under the name uncultured bacterium. RNAcentral's name for it is "partial 16S ribosomal RNA". It matches the Rfam family "Bacterial small subunit ribosomal RNA", at positions 29 to 523 of the family's 1533-position model. The record is from RNAcentral.